CUGUGUGCACAGGAGGCAAUGAGAAGGUUGAGAGAGAUGGCUUCUUUCUGACCCCCGCACCCAUCUCUCCGGCACUUACAGGAGUGAGUAUGGGGGAAACGUCCUCUACUCUGGUCCAGGAAAGCCCAGAACGCAGAAGGAGACACAGCUGUGGGAGAGGGAACCCCUUCUCUUCUGAAGCUCCCAAGAGCACGCAAGGCCAAUAUGAGAACCAACAAGGAACGCCUCAGUGGAAGACUUUGGAAAUCCAGCGAGACCUUGGUUUCAGAGGGUUGUGAGAUGUGAAAGUGGAAGAGGGUGCGAGGGACUGGAGGCCAGUGUUCUGACGUUGAUAACGGGUCUUCUCCUGAUCCAGACAGACUUGAAGUUUGCCAGGAAAGCAACUGUCUCAAGAAUGUCAAGGAGCGGAGGCUUCCCAGACCGCAACUCCUCACUCCAGGCGCUUGAACCCGCCUCAAACAGGAAGACGAAACAAUGGCGAAGGACGCCCACCUGCCAUCCUCCUAUCUCACCAUCCCCCACGCCUGGCUGCAAGCAGCCUCUCAAGGCCAAACGCAGGCUGGUGGGAAAAUGCCAAACUGCACAAGCUACAUGCGGCCCCUCCCCUACCCAAAACCCCAAAUAAAAAUCCC
RNAcentral lists this long non-coding RNA (632 nucleotides) under Equus caballus (horse). Its description in RNAcentral is "lncRNA (ENSECAG00000055934.1)". Lineage: Eukaryota; Metazoa; Chordata; Mammalia; Perissodactyla; Equidae. The record is from RNAcentral.